RNAcentral lists this ribosomal RNA (254 nucleotides) under uncultured bacterium. RNAcentral describes it as "partial 16S ribosomal RNA". It matches the Rfam family "Bacterial small subunit ribosomal RNA", at positions 524 to 776 of the family's 1533-position model. The record is from RNAcentral.
UACGUAGGGUGCAAGCGUUGUCCGGAAUUAUUGGGCGUAAAGAGCUCGUAGGCGGUUUGUCGCGUCUGCUGUGAAAUCCCGAGGCUCAACCUCGGGUCUGCAGUGGGUACGGGCAGACUAGAGUGUGGUAGGGGAGAUUGGAAUUCCUGGGUGUAGCGGUGGAAUGCGCAGAUAUCAGGAGGAACACCGAUGGCGAAGGCAGGUCUCUGGGCCAUUACUGACACUGAGAAGCGAAAGCAUGGGGAGCGAACAGG